This 1427-nucleotide ribosomal RNA is filed under the name Staphylococcus aureus. RNAcentral describes it as "bacterial SSU rRNA". It matches the Rfam family "Bacterial small subunit ribosomal RNA". The record is from RNAcentral. Lineage: Bacteria; Bacillati; Bacillota; Bacilli; Caryophanales; Staphylococcaceae.
GAGUAACACGUGGAUAACCUACCUAUAAGACUGGGAUAACUUCGGGAAACCGGAGCUAAUACCGGAUAAUAUUUUGAACCGCAUGGUUCAAAAGUGAAAGACGGUCUUGCUGUCACUUAUAGAUGGAUCCGCGCUGCAUUAGCUAGUUGGUAAGGUAACGGCUUACCAAGGCAACGAUGCAUAGCCGACCUGAGAGGGUGAUCGGCCACACUGGAACUGAGACACGGUCCAGACUCCUACGGGAGGCAGCAGUAGGGAAUCUUCCGCAAUGGGCGAAAGCCUGACGGAGCAACGCCGCGUGAGUGAUGAAGGUCUUCGGAUCGUAAAACUCUGUUAUUAGGGAAGAACAUAUGUGUAAGUAACUGUGCACAUCUUGACGGUACCUAAUCAGAAAGCCACGGCUAACUACGUGCCAGCAGCCGCGGUAAUACGUAGGUGGCAAGCGUUAUCCGGAAUUAUUGGGCGUAAAGCGCGCGUAGGCGGUUUUUUAAGUCUGAUGUGAAAGCCCACGGCUCAACCGUGGAGGGUCAUUGGAAACUGGAAAACUUGAGUGCAGAAGAGGAAAGUGGAAUUCCAUGUGUAGCGGUGAAAUGCGCAGAGAUAUGGAGGAACACCAGUGGCGAAGGCGACUUUCUGGUCUGUAACUGACGCUGAUGUGCGAAAGCGUGGGGAUCAAACAGGAUUAGAUACCCUGGUAGUCCACGCCGUAAACGAUGAGUGCUAAGUGUUAGGGGGUUUCCGCCCCUUAGUGCUGCAGCUAACGCAUUAAGCACUCCGCCUGGGGAGUACGACCGCAAGGUUGAAACUCAAAGGAAUUGACGGGGACCCGCACAAGCGGUGGAGCAUGUGGUUUAAUUCGAAGCAACGCGAAGAACCUUACCAAAUCUUGACAUCCUUUGACAACUCUAGAGAUAGAGCUUUCCCCUUCGGGGGACAAAGUGACAGGUGGUGCAUGGUUGUCGUCAGCUCGUGUCGUGAGAUGUUGGGUUAAGUCCCGCAACGAGCGCAACCCUUAAGCUUAGUUGCCAUCAUUAAGUUGGGCACUCUAAGUUGACUGCCGGUGACAAACCGGAGGAAGGUGGGGAUGACGUCAAAUCAUCAUGCCCCUUAUGAUUUGGGCUACACACGUGCUACAAUGGACAAUACAAAGGGCAGCGAAACCGCGAGGUCAAGCAAAUCCCAUAAAGUUGUUCUCAGUUCGGAUUGUAGUCUGCAACUCGACUACAUGAAGCUGGAAUCGCUAGUAAUCGUAGAUCAGCAUGCUACGGUGAAUACGUUCCCGGGUCUUGUACACACCGCCCGUCACACCACGAGAGUUUGUAACACCCGAAGCCGGUGGAGUAACCUUUUAGGAGCUAGCCGUCGAAGGUGGGACAAAUGAUUGGGGUGAAGUCGUAACAAGGUAGCCGUAUCGGAAGGUGCGGCUG